AUUGAACGCUGGCGGCAGGCCUAACACAUGCAAGUCGAACGGUAACAGGAAGAAGCUUGCUUCUUUGCUGACGAGUGGCGGACGGGUGAGUAAUGUCUGGGAAACUGCCUGAUGGAGGGGGAUAACUACUGGAAACGGUAGCUAAUACCGCAUAACGUCGCAAGACCAAAGAGGGGGACCUUCUGGCCUCUUGCCAUCGGAUGUGCCCAGAUGGGAUUAGCUAGUAGGUGGGGUAACGGCUCACCUAGGCGACGAUCCCUAGCUGGUCUGAGAGGAUGACCAGCCACACUGGAACUGAGACACGGUCCAGACGCCUACGGGAGGCAGCAGUGGGGAAUAUUGCACAAUGGGCGCAAGCCUGAUGCAGCCAUGCCGCGUGUAUGAAGAAGGCUUUCGGGUUGUAAAGUACUUUCAGCGGGGAGGAAGGGAGUAAAGUUAAUACCUUGGCUUAUUGACGUUACCCGCAGAAGAAGCACCGGCUAACUCCGUG
RNAcentral lists this ribosomal RNA (490 nucleotides) under uncultured bacterium. RNAcentral describes it as "partial 16S ribosomal RNA". It matches the Rfam family "Bacterial small subunit ribosomal RNA", at positions 30 to 507 of the family's 1533-position model. The record is from RNAcentral.